GUGAAUUAAAAUAAUAAGACUUGAAAAAUAAAAAUUAAUAAAUUGGUUUUGAGACAAAAUAUAUUAACAUGCAAAGAUAAAGUUGAUUCAAUUGACAAACGAAAACAAUGGAGGAAUGGAUGUUGUUGGGUACUAACAAUUUCAUCUAUUCCGCUCUCUCUUACAUACUAUCCUUGAAUAUUAGAUUGAUUCAAUUGUUAUGCGACUUUCUUAGCCUCCCCUUAACCCGAUCCCUCGACGAAAAGGGCCUAAUAUUAACUACUGGCUUGCUAUCCCUAGCCUCCCCUAGUCAUUAAUACCGCAUUAUAAACAGAAGUUAGCGCAAUUGAUCGUCCUACCCCUAUCC
RNAcentral lists this long non-coding RNA (346 nucleotides) under Vigna radiata. RNAcentral's name for it is "long non-coding RNA (VRAD_LNC000442)". Lineage: Eukaryota; Viridiplantae; Streptophyta; Magnoliopsida; Fabales; Fabaceae. The record is from RNAcentral.